This 302-nucleotide long non-coding RNA is filed under the name Sorghum bicolor (sorghum). RNAcentral describes it as "long non-coding RNA (SBIC_LNC005179)". The record is from RNAcentral. Lineage: Eukaryota; Viridiplantae; Streptophyta; Magnoliopsida; Poales; Poaceae.
CGACCCUCCUGCGCCGCGCGUCGCCGAAACGGGGGCUCAGGCGCCGACCGGCAGAGCUAGGAGGAGGUUCACCGCGACCCACCGUCGAUCAGACCUGUAAGUGUUCAACUUACGUACUUUGGCUAAUUUUUUUAUUUUUAUUUUUGCUGAAAAUGCUACUUUGUUCUUUAGCACAGCGUCGGAUGUCAACCCCGACCACGUCGCCGGCCAGGGGGUGGCCGAGCCCGCUUGUGCUGCUGAGGACGCGGCGCCUCCGACCGCGGAGCAGCCUGCGGCAGCAGCCGUGCCUGAGAGCGCCGAGG